GCGCCCGUAGCUCAGCAGGAUAGAGCAACGGACUUCUAAUCCGUAGGCCACAAGUUCGAAUCUUGUCGGGCGCACCA
Molecule: transfer RNA, 77 nt
Filed under: Pseudomonadota bacterium
Lineage: Bacteria; Pseudomonadati; Pseudomonadota
Description: Proteobacteria bacterium (groundwater metagenome) tRNA-Arg
Rfam family: tRNA
About the family: Transfer RNA (tRNA) molecules are approximately 80 nucleotides in length.
Source: RNAcentral